AAAAACCUUAUAAAUUGAUAAAAAAAAGCUAUUUAAUUACAAGCAAAUGAGAAAAAAUAUGGCUCAAACUCUUCAGUUUGUUUAUGCUUUCAUAAUCUUUCUUUUUAUAUUUCUUCUUGCAGUCAAUGGGGGUAUGUGAUUUUUCAAACCAUUUUCAACUUUAACAAAUUAUAUCAGUUUUUUGUCAAAAGAAAAUAUUAUAUCAUUUUUUUAUAACAUCCCUUUUAUCUUAUUGGACAUUGCAGCUAUACCUUGUGUUACUGACGAUGAUUGUCCAAAGGAGAUUCCCCCUGAAUAUUAUUAUAAGUGCAUGAAUAAGAUUUGUAUACUUAUUAAUUUAAUGUAAUAUUGAUCAAUGGAAAAAAAAUCGAAAUUUAUAUGCCGAAAACCAUAGUUAUGUGUUCUUUCACGUAUGUGUUCGUUUCCUAUGGCAAUUAUCGUUUCAUAUAUCAACUUAAAAUAAAUGGAUAAUGUAACACUACAAAUAUGAUGGAUGUUGACACGCCAAAAGCUCUCUUUUCUCUCUGAAAACAGCUUUCUUCCUCAACCACCUCCUCCACCCUUAAUCCAAAUAUUAGCUUCACGAUGUAGAUCCUGGCUGAUGGUGGUGUGAUGAGCGACAGUGGUCCUCCAAACCACCACGUUUCAUUGUCCUCACCUGUUGAUGUUCCUCUCCGCGCCGGAAAGUUGUUACUGUUGCGGAUUGUCUUUCGGCGGAUUGUUGCUGUUUUCCAGCAGGUGUGGUGGUGGUGGUGGAUGCGACGAUUAUGAGUUGAGGGGGUGUGGUGGUGAGGUGUUGAUGUAGCGGUGUUGGAUCUGGCUCCGUCAGGGUGUGGUUGAUGUCGUGUGUGAUUGGCUUUCGACGGUACAAGAUUCUCUGACCGCUUUCAAAUCUGUUGAGAUUUGCUGCUUUCUUUUUUGAGUCCUUGUUGGUUCCCAAAUCUGUUGAGAUUUGCAGUUCUCUUUGUAUCUGAUUGACUUAUUUCACGUCGGUGUUGAUUGUUUUGGAGGCGAACUACGAGCCAAAACUUGU
Molecule: long non-coding RNA, 1033 nt
Filed under: Trifolium pratense (red clover)
Lineage: Eukaryota; Viridiplantae; Streptophyta; Magnoliopsida; Fabales; Fabaceae
Description: long non-coding RNA (TPRA_LNC008780)
Source: RNAcentral